GGACUCACCAAAUCACUAAGUUGCCCAGUAUGGACUUGGAUUUGUGAUCCUUCUGCUUCAGCCUCUGAGACAGCUGGGAUUCUGUGCAGGGGCCACGACAUACUUUUGCUUUUCUCCGUUACAGCAUUGUUGUUCACGUGGUCUGCUGUUAACCGAAGCAUCGCGUCUGCAGAAGACAGCGAAGGGAAACCCGAAAAUCUGCCCCAGCUACAGUGCAGGGUAAAUGCCCAGCAGGCAGGCGCUGCAGGAAGCAACGUGAGUUUUCUCAUCUGUAAAACUGAAAUAAUGACCCAGUCUGUCUAAAAUGGAACCGGAGGAAGAUGAUAUGAGACCUACGAUUGUACACCGGUUUCUUCAUGCAGAAUAUUAUAACUGCUCUCGACCUCAGCCCUGUGUAGGAAUGACCUUAUUAAAUAAACCACUGAUAUGCUGAACUUGCUUGCAGAAAAAUAAAAAAUAAAAAACAUGAUUUGUACCCAAU
This 481-nucleotide long non-coding RNA is filed under the name Chinchilla lanigera (long-tailed chinchilla). RNAcentral's name for it is "lncRNA (ENSCLAG00000029141.1)". The record is from RNAcentral. Lineage: Eukaryota; Metazoa; Chordata; Mammalia; Rodentia; Chinchillidae.